RNAcentral lists this ribosomal RNA (499 nucleotides) under uncultured bacterium. RNAcentral describes it as "partial 16S ribosomal RNA". It matches the Rfam family "Bacterial small subunit ribosomal RNA", at positions 28 to 507 of the family's 1533-position model. The record is from RNAcentral.
GACGAACGCUGGCGGCGUGCCUAAUACAUGCAAGUCGAGCGGACUUUCAAGAAGCUUUCUUUUUGAAAGUUAGCGGCGGACGGGUGAGUAACACGUGGGCAACCUGCCUGCAAGACGGGGAUAACUCCGGGAAACCGGGGCUAAUACCGGAUAAUAUCUUCCUUCGCAUGAAGGAAGGUUGAAAGGCGGCGCAAGCUGCCGCUUGCAGAUGGGCCCGCGGCGCAUUAGCUAGUUGGUGAGGUAACGGCUCACCAAGGCGACGAUGCGUAGCCGACCUGAGAGGGGGAUCGGCCACACUGGGAAUGGGACACGGCCCAGACUCCUACGGGAAGGAGCAGUAGGGAAUCUUCCGCAAAGGACGAAAGUCUGAAGGAGCAACGCCGCGUGAGCGAAGAAGGUCUUCGGGUCGGAAAGCACUGUUGUCAGGGAAGAAAAAGUACCGUUCGAACAGGGCGGUACCUUGACGGUACCUGACCAGAAAGCCACGGCUAACUACGUG